Molecule: ribosomal RNA, 495 nt
Filed under: uncultured bacterium
Lineage: Bacteria
Description: partial 16S ribosomal RNA
Rfam family: Bacterial small subunit ribosomal RNA
Source: RNAcentral
GACGAACGCUGGCGGCGUGCCUAAUACAUGCAAGUAGAACGCUGAAGGAGGAGCUUGCUUCUCCGGAUGAGUUGCGAACGGGUGGGUAACGCGUAGGUAACCUGCCUGGUAGCGAGGGAUAACUAUUGGAAACGAUAGCUAAUACCGCAUAAGAGUAGAUGUCGCAUGACAUUUGCUUAAAAGGUGCAACUGCACCACUACCAGAUGGACCUGCGUUGUAUUAGCUAGUUGGUGAGGUAACGGCUCACCAAGGCAACGAUACAUAGCCGACCUGAGAGGGUGAUCGGCCACACUGGGACUGAGACACGGCCCAGACUCCUACGGGAGGCAGCAGUAGGGAAUCUUCGGCAAUGGACGGAAGUCUGACCGAGCAACGCCGCGUGAGUGAAGAAGGUUUUCGGAUCGUAAAGCUCUGUUGUAAGAGAAGAACGAGUGUGAGAGUGGAAAGUUCACACUGUGACGGUAUCUUACCAGAAAGGGACGGCUAACUACGUG